This is a non-coding RNA of Phrynosoma platyrhinos (Desert horned lizard), 72 nucleotides long. The record is from the annotation of a GenBank genome assembly. NCBI's taxonomy places the organism in Eukaryota, Metazoa, Chordata, Lepidosauria, Squamata, Phrynosomatidae.
UACUGUGUAGCACAAUGGUUUGAGCAUUGGGCUAUCAUUCUAGAGACUGGGGUUUGAAUCCACGCUCAGUCA